Long non-coding RNA from Capsicum annuum, 3314 nucleotides. RefSeq lists it as uncharacterized. The record is from RefSeq and is a predicted model, not a curated record. The transcript is spliced from 7 exons. NCBI's taxonomy places the organism in Eukaryota, Viridiplantae, Streptophyta, Magnoliopsida, Solanales, Solanaceae.
GUGGACGGAGGUAGUAUCAAAACUUUUCCAAUUAUCUCUAUCUCACUACCUUGUCUCUCUCUCUAAAAAACUAAGGUCUCACUGAGUUGUCAAUUUCACCCGAUUGAAGUACUUCUCCGGUGUAGCUCCGGCCUCAUCUCCCUUAGACAACCAUACCGUCUCCGAGAUCUGUACGUAGACGUUUUCGUAGCCGAUUGAAACUAAAACAGAGUGAAAGGGAACCAAAUCAGGUUGUAGAACAGAGAGGGACAGAUAUCUAGUUCAAGGGGUUUGGAUAAGAUGGACAGAAAAGGGAGAUGAAUCCACAACCUAGGAAGCAUACACUUUGGCAAGCAACAUCUGAUUUUACUAGUGGACAGGCCAGCAUACACAAGAAUAUAAAAAUGGGAAAAAAGAGCCCACUUUUCUUGAGGUCUAAGAAGAGACGCAUAGGAAGAAAAAGAAGUACGGUAUAAGAGGAGAUUGGAUCGAAACGCGUGCUAAGGAUGCAUAUGAUAGAGCUCAAAAAUUGGUUGUUGCAUUGGGAGCUGGUGCGUUUACUAUUUUAGUGGUUGUUGCAUGGGGAGUUGGUGCGUUUCGUAGAGUAUCAAGAUCAGUAGAUGCUUGGAAAGUGUGGCUUUCAUUAAAGCAGUCUCUUUAUAUGCCAAGGAGAUAUGUUGCUCUCUGACUAGCUAUUUUUCGUGUCUAACCUUAAGUACAUGUUAACUUAGUUAUAUUUGUAGAGAAGUUCUACCUUUACAUUGUGGACGAGCAUGCAAAACUCUUGAGAUAUUUUCAAAUCCAAAAUUUUAUCCAGAUUCAUGACUUGACAAUUUGAGUCAGCUAACAUAACCGGAGUUAAAUAUGGCCUAAGAUGAGCUUAAUUGGAGCAACUUAGUCUGUGAAAAUGAUAUAGCCAACCCCAGUUUGUUUGGGAUUGAAACAUAGUUGUUAUUACUUUUGGCUUAUGGAAAUGAGUUGGAAGUGAGAGACAAGGGUGUUUGGUGGAGUGGAAAGGCUUAAAAACCAAUAGCUAUGGCUUUCAACUUUGUUAGACAAGAUUGUGUAUCGAUAAUUUUAACUAUUUGACAUCAAUUAUUAAAAACAUUUGGUUGACUUGUCGCGAUCAAAGACAUGCUCUUAUCUUCGGCAUCAUUUUGAGAUUUUUUGAACAAUACAACUACGCCUCAACCAAGCUAGAUUAGUUUCACUUAUUUUAAAUGAUUCGAGGAUAUUUGGGAUAUUGUUGAAGUUUGAUUUGCUACCUAUUUGGGAUUUUUUUCAAUGAAAAUGUGGAUUGGAGUGCAAAUAUUUAUGGAAGUAGGGGUAAGAGUAUGGAAAUGCAUAUGUGUUCCAUCUGUAUAUAGGUUUGAUAUUCUAGUAGCUUCUUGUUUAAAUUAUGUAUUUAACCCUAUCUAACAUCUCAUUUUUUGUGCAUAGUAUAACACAUGAUAGUAGAUGCAUUAUUUUUUACCUAAUUUUUAGAGCCUAGGUGCUUUGGCGUGAUCCUUAUUUGUGAAAUAUUUAUUGUAAUUUUGACAGAUAUGUGUCGGUCAUAGUUUUUCUCUUGGCUGAUUAUUUAAGUAUAAUAAAUAUUAUCUGCUUAUUAGAGUUAUUUUGAAUUUAUGAUGUAUAUCAAUAAGACAACUAAGGUUACUAUCGUAGGGACUUGAAUCAAUAUUUAUCAAUAAUCGAGUGAUUAAAAGUACUAUUAACCCCAACAGGAUGUUUUAAGAAAUGAAAAGUUUGGAAUUCAAAGAAUGUUGGGUUUUACUUGCAAAGUGGAGUUUGUAUAGUCUCGUCUGUUGAUACAUAUUGUUUGGCAUAAUAGGAGUUAUAUACAGUUGAUCAUUUCCCUUGUGCUGCUGCUUGUUGAAUUCCGUUUGAAUUUAUGUACGUUCUACUUUUAGAUCCUUUUGAAAUACAGAGUAUAGCUAGUAUGUUUGGUUCUUAUAUAUCCUUCUUUGGGCAUGAUUUGUUGAAAUGAAGACGUAAUCAUCUAUUAAGUAAGGCAUCCUUUACCUGCUAGAGAAGACAUUGCUUACAUACAUAACGAUGUAGCAUAGGUGCUUUGGCGUAACCCUUGUUUGUGAAAGGCCUAAUGGAGAAUUGGUUUCAGGAUCUCAUAUUAUGUGUGGUAUUGCUCUUUCUUUUUUGGACCAAGGGCAAGAUAAGGAUUUUUUCUUAGUCUUGUUAAAAGUAUAAGCAGAAGAGAGAAAUUUAAUUCCUAUACAAUGGGACUAGAUUAAAACAAACUUCAAGUUAAAAGCUAGGCACAUACUUAUUGGCUUGCUAUCAAAAGUUCGUGUAAGUAACAAGAGGCCUAUGUGGAUUCUACCUGAAAAUUGACAAAAGUUAGUUGACCAUUGGGAGACCGAUUUGAGGUUCAAGCAGAUGAGUGAGAUUGACAAGAAAGCUAGAGCUUCUAUUAAGGGUGGCUCUUUACAUACGAGUGGUGCUCAAGGUCAGGGAAAUGUAACGAGAAAAUUGGAAAAGGGACUUGGGAGCCCAAUAAUGCAGAGGCAUUCAAGGCUACACACACAAGGAAUAAGAAAAUCCUGGAGAUCCUGAUGUUUGGGUUGAGCCAUGAGCUCAACUAACCUAUAUAAGCCUCUAUUUCUAGUAGUAAUUACUUUAUUUUCUAAAUUUAUAUUCUAAUAUGUUUAUCAUUAAAUUCAGAAUCAAUAUCUGCAAUUCAUAGAGAAUUUUUGCCAAACUCUGCCAGAAGAUAGUAAGGACCUACCACUUAGCCAAAGCAGAAUGGAAGAAUAUGGUUAGACGCGGUUGGUGGCCCGAGUAGGUAUGCAUAUUCUUAUGUAUUUCCCCAACGAAUCUUUCAUCAAUUUCAUUCGAAAUUAGAAGGCCUCAGAAGUUUUCAAGAUGAUGAGUGAAGUGAAAUGACGCGAAGCUAAGGCCUUGCAGGCUAGGGAAAGGCAAAGGGAUAUACAGUAUGCAAGAAUGAAGGCCCAAUUCGAUGCAUUACUUACUUCGAGGGGAUUCCCCUUGUCCCGGUGAUUUAGUACGCCCUCUUCGACCUACAGAGUCUCUACCUAUUUCACAUGGAAUAUAUGGUCAAUACAGAGAUGUCACUGAGGAGCCCAACAGUGAUGAAGAUGAUGAGGUUUACUAUGUGGACAAUACACCGUUGCGUUGUUAAAGUUCAAUGUUGUGUUAGAUAAGCUAAACAAUAUACUUUAUGGUGGUUUAUUUGAAUUAUUAAGUGUUUUUCAAUGCAUUAAAACUUUAAAGUAGUUUGAACAAUAGUAUUGUUAAAUCACUUACGAUUUUUAUGUUUUGUUCGUUCAAUUUCAAGGUAUUAAAAUUUGAUUUUCAUU